UUGUAUCCAAGCCGAAAAAUUCUAGAUAUAAGCCUCACACCCAUUUAAAAACAUGUCGUUUUAUUUUUUUAUCCACGUAAUGAAAAUGAUUCCAGAUGUAUUUGUAAGUAAAAUAAGAUAAAAUGAUAAAAUGACAUAUUUU
Juglans microcarpa x Juglans regia is the source of this 142-nucleotide long non-coding RNA. RefSeq lists it as uncharacterized. Lineage: Eukaryota; Viridiplantae; Streptophyta; Magnoliopsida; Fagales; Juglandaceae. The record is from RefSeq and is a predicted model, not a curated record. The transcript has 3 exons.